CAUUCAAACCAUCUCAAUCUCGCUUUCCUCAUCUGCGUUCUCCUUCGUGGAAGCCACUUCCACCUUGCCACGAAUAACUUCGUUCUUAAGCAUAUCUCUACUAGUAAAGCAUGUACACACAUCCAUUUAAACAUCCUCAUUCCUACUAUUUUCAUCUUCUGAACUUGUGUGUUCUUGAGUAGCCCACAUUCGAUCCCGAAUAAUAAAGAUCUAGCCACUACUUUAUAGAACUUACCCUUAAGCUUUGUA
This 249-nucleotide long non-coding RNA is filed under the name Solanum tuberosum (potato). Its description in RNAcentral is "long non-coding RNA (STUB_LNC005065)". The record is from RNAcentral. Lineage: Eukaryota; Viridiplantae; Streptophyta; Magnoliopsida; Solanales; Solanaceae.